CAUUACGGUCUUCUUAGUGAGUUUUGGACUAUUCAAUGACUAUGGACUGUUACUGCCCCCUUGAGGAAAUACGGAGUAAGCUAGAGUGUGAUGAAAGUGCGUCAUAAGAAUUGUCAGUUGUUGCUACGAAUCCAUAGAGUGCGGAGCACAGGAGAGUUGUCCUCAUUUCUUAAAGAGUGGUGUUGUUUAAUUGUGUGCGUGCAUCUAAAAAACCACACAAACACCUACAGGUUUGCAUAUGCUAAUGCAAAUAAAUAUUCUGUGAAGCAAGAAGCAUCUUCGUUGCGUUUUGACCAGACGUACCACAGUGAUUAAUUCAACCCGAACCACAUUAAAAAAAGAUUGAAAGACCCCCGAAUUGACCGUGCUGUUGGUGUAUGCAAGAAAAUUGUGAGUGCCUUUUCAUACUCUUGGAAAAGAAGAAAGGAGUUGAAGAAAGCCCAGGCAGAGCACCAUCUUCCCUUUCAUCGGCUCAUCACAUCACAGAAACUUUCUAAAAGGCACUACAUUUAGUUUAUUUAUCUGCAACAUUGUGUUGUUUAAUUACAGUUUUGCUUUUGCACAAUAAAUGUUCUCAAAACGA
Molecule: long non-coding RNA, 583 nt
Organism: Labeo rohita (rohu)
Lineage: Eukaryota; Metazoa; Chordata; Actinopteri; Cypriniformes; Cyprinidae
Exons: 3
Source: RefSeq, a predicted model, not a curated record